UCCCUGGUGGCUCAGAGGGUAAAGCAUCUGCCUGCAAUGUAGGAUACCUGGGUUUGAUCCCUGGGUUGGGAA
Molecule: transfer RNA, 72 nt
Filed under: Bos taurus (domestic cattle)
Lineage: Eukaryota; Metazoa; Chordata; Mammalia; Artiodactyla; Bovidae
Also listed under: 1 other name
Rfam family: tRNA
About the family: Transfer RNA (tRNA) molecules are approximately 80 nucleotides in length. Their secondary structure includes four short double-helical elements and three loops (D, anti-codon, and T loops).
Source: Rfam by way of RNAcentral